GAUGAAGAACGUAGCGAAAUGCGAUACUUGGUGUGAAUUGCAGAAUCCCGUGAACCAUCGAGUCUUUGAACGCAAGUUGCGCCUCAAGCCAUUAGGUUGAGGGCACGUCUGCCUGGGCGUCACAUAUCGUUGCCUGAUGCCAGUUUCCUCGUGAUGGGUGACUGUGCAGGGCGAAUGAUGGCUUCCCGUGAGCAUUGUUGCCUCAUGGUUGGUUGAAAAUUGAGUCCUUGGUAGGGAGCGCCGUGAUAGAUGGUGGUUGAGUGACGAACGAGACCCAAUCAUGUGAGACCCCUACCGAAUUUGGCCUUCAUAACCCACAUGCGUCUUUGGAACGCUCAUGACGAGACCUCAGGUCAGGCGGGGCUACCCGCUGAGUUUAAGCAUAUCAAUAAGCGGAGGA
RNAcentral lists this unclassified non-coding RNA (400 nucleotides) under soil metagenome. RNAcentral's name for it is "partial contains 5.8S ribosomal RNA, internal transcribed spacer 2, and large subunit ribosomal RNA". The stretch from base 1 to 122 matches the Rfam family "5.8S ribosomal RNA", at positions 35 to 154 of the family's 154-position model. The record is from RNAcentral.